Long non-coding RNA from Mobula hypostoma (lesser devil ray), 675 nucleotides. RefSeq lists it as uncharacterized. The transcript has 3 exons. Lineage: Eukaryota; Metazoa; Chordata; Chondrichthyes; Myliobatiformes; Myliobatidae. The record is from RefSeq and is a predicted model, not a curated record.
CUUAAAGAAACACACACAAAACUCUGAGUGAACUCAGCAGGCCAGGCAACAGAUAUGGAAAAGAGUAAAUCGUCGGCGUUUCGUCCAAGACCCUUCAUCGGGAACUCACUCUGUUCCUAACCCACAACUCCCAAAUCAGACAAAUAUUCCUUGGCUCACUGUUUCGACUGAAGGCCUUGAUGCGUGACAAUCCGUGGGGUGGAGGGCGAGCAGGUGGUCAGAAGACUCAAAGUUAUACCAGCAAAACUUGUCCGACAGAGUCUGCAUCCCAUUUCAGAAAAAGGGGUCUCUCCUAUUCGGUGGCAGUGUCCACUGUUCCUAGAAACCCCCAUCAUCGCAAGCGCCCUCUCUGCAUUCACUCUAUCAGGACCUUUCGCCGUUUGAUGGGGUUCAAUGAGGCCCCGGAGUGACUACCUGCCGACAGCUCGUCUCUAUCACCUCCUCACUCUCCCUGACCAGACGAAGGUUUUCGAGCGGCAUCUCCGGUUCCCUAACCAUGUCCUUCAGGAGCUGCAAGCGCUUAGAAUUUUUGCGUUAAAACUCAUGUUUGUUUGCAUUAAAGUGAGAGGGAGGGAGAGCAAUUGAACAUGGGCUGUGGGGACAAAGUGGACGAUAUAUUAAUGGUAUGAGAUGGAGAGAGAGAGAGGGAGUUUAUGGAAGAAAUAAAGAAAACAA